Molecule: ribosomal RNA, 1544 nt
Filed under: Parascutigera sp. QLD3
Lineage: Eukaryota; Metazoa; Arthropoda; Chilopoda; Scutigeromorpha; Scutigeridae
Description: eukaryotic LSU rRNA
Rfam family: Eukaryotic large subunit ribosomal RNA
Source: RNAcentral
UUUCGACCCGGCUCCGCCGCCCGACCGUGGCCUAGAACCGAGGUUCGACAACCGCGCAAGCGCCAACGACGCUCGAGCCCUUCCCGCACGCCUGGUGCGGCCGCCGACAGACAAUUCCCCCCCGCUCACUGCGGUUACACGAAGCGGCCCGCCGGCGUUCGCGAGGACGCGGCUCUCGAGUAAGUUGCGCCUGUGGUCGGCGGCGAGUAGGUCGGUAACCCACCCGACCCGUCUUGAAACACGGACCAAGGAGUCUAACAUGUGUGCGAGUCGUAGGGUGCGUACGAAACCCGAAGGCGCAGUGAAAGCACGGGCCGAUUUAUUUGGCCGAGGCGGGAUCCGUCCGCUUUCCCUCGCGGGAAACGGGCGGCGCACCGCCGGCCCGUCUCGACCGCAGCGUCGGUGAGGCGGAGCAAGAGCAGACACGUUGGGACCCGAAAGAUGGUGAACUAUUCCUAGGCAGGACGAAGCCAGAGGAAACUCUGGUGGAGGUCCGUAGCGUUUCUGACGUGCAAAUCGAUCGUCAGACCUGGGUAUAGGGGCGAAAGACUAAUCGAACCAUCUAGUAGCUGGUUCCCUCCGAAGUUUCCCUCAGGAUAGCUGGCUCUCGAGAGAAACACAGUCUCAUCCGGUAAAGCGAAUGAUUAGAGGCCUUGGGGCCGAAACGACCUCAACCUAUUCUCAAACUUUCAAUGGGUGAGAAGUCCGGCUUGCUCGACUGAAGCCCGGACGUCGGAUGCGAGUGCCCAGUGGGCCACUUUUGGUAAGCAGAACUGGCGCUGUGGGAUGAACCAAACGCCGGGUUACGGCGCCCAAUGCGACGCUCAUCAGACACCAUGAAAGGUGUUGGUUGCUAUAGACAGCAGGACGGUGGCCAUGGAAGUCGGAAUCCGCUAAGGAGUGUGUAACAACUCACCUGCCGAAGCAACUAGCCCUGAAAAUGGAUGGCGCUCAAGCGUCGAGCCUAUACCCGGCCGCCGGGGCAGAGCAACAAUUGCAGCAGACGCCCCGGCGAGUAGGAGGGUCGCGGCGGCGAGCGGAAAAGGGUCGGGCGCAGGCCCGCCUGGAGCCGCCGCCGGUGCAGAUCUUGGUGGUAGUAGCAAAUACUCGAGUGAGAACCUUGAGGACUGAUGUGGAGAAGGGUUCCAUGUGAACAGCAGUUGAACAUGGGUCAGUCGGCCCUAAGGAAUAGGGAAAUCCCGUUCCGAAUUUUUGGGUUUCUCAUGUAAUAAUAUAUCCCAAACUCAACCGAAAGGGAAUCGGGUUAAUAUUCCCGAACCCGGACACGGAGAUCGGGCCUUUAUCGGUCCAGUGCGGUGACGCAAACAACCUCGGAGACGUCGGCGGGAGUCCCGGGAAGAGUUGUCUUUUCUUUGUAAGGAACGGAAUCCCUGGAAUCGGUUCGCCCGGAGAUAGGGAUGUGGUUUCCGUAAAGCACCGCGCCUCCUGCGGUGUCCGGACAGCUCUCGUCGGCCCUUGAAAAUCCGAGGAAGGCAGUGCGAUUUUCGUGCCGGGCCGUACCCAUAUCCGCAGCAGGUCUCCAA